RNAcentral lists this ribosomal RNA (322 nucleotides) under uncultured eukaryote. RNAcentral describes it as "partial 18S ribosomal RNA". It matches the Rfam family "Eukaryotic small subunit ribosomal RNA", at positions 1470 to 1796 of the family's 1831-position model. The record is from RNAcentral.
CCCUUAGAUGUUCUGGGCCGCACGCGCGCUACACUGAUGCAUUCAACGAGUUUUACCUUGGCCGAGAGGCCUGGGCAAUCUUUUAAACCUGCAUCGUGAUAGGGAUAGAUUAUUGCAAUUAUUAAUCUUGAACGAGGAAUUCCUAGUAAACGCGAAUCAUCAAUUCGCAUUGAUUACGUCCCUGCCCUUUGUACACACCGCCCGUCGCUCCUACCGAUUGAAUGUUCCGGUGAGCUCUUCGGACUGCGCGGUCUGCAGUUUCUGCGUUCCGUGCGGAAAGUUGCGCAAACCUUAACAUUUAGAGGAAGGAGAAGUCGUAACA